This is a long non-coding RNA of Hibiscus syriacus, 1053 nucleotides long. RefSeq lists it as uncharacterized. The record is from RefSeq and is a predicted model, not a curated record. Lineage: Eukaryota; Viridiplantae; Streptophyta; Magnoliopsida; Malvales; Malvaceae. The transcript has 3 exons.
UUUCCUUUGUUCUCUCCACCAUGCCUUCCACGAUUGAGGGGAUUUUACUCAAUCCCAAUAGUCUUUUGUUUUUACAUCUUUCAGAUACUCCUGGAUCGCUGCUCGUCUGACAUCAAUUGGUUCGAUCUGAGAAUUAUAAUGUGUGGAGCCAUUCGAUGCAAAUCGCUCUUUGGCUAAAAACAAGUCCGAUUUUGUGGAUGGAUGUUGACAACGGGAAGAUUAGGAGUUGGAGCUACGCACUCAGUGGAAUUGUUGCAACGCCAUUGUUCUCUCCUGGAUCCUUAAUACCUUGAGCAAGGAGUUGUCGACUGAAAUUGUUUUUGCGUCAAGCGCUGCGCUCGUUUGGGAAGGCUUGAGGGAACACUUCAACAAGAUCGAUGUGACAAAGAUUUUUUAUCUUCAUCGUGAGACAACUACUUUAACUCAAGUUGUUUCAGUUUCUUAUGGGGCUCAACGAAUCCUAUUAUGCUAUACGAAUCCUACCAGAAUCAACCCUAUUCAAUGGUCAUUCAGGAAGAAUCGCAUCGAUUUUUCACUGUUUCUAAUUCAAGAACUAUGUUUACUAAUGAUGUUUCUCGCCAACGUUUCAUGGGAAAUUGUGAUCAUUUUCAUGUUCGUGGCCACAAUAAAGAGUCCUGCUAUUGACUCACUGGGUUUCCCCUCGAUUUCAAGUUCGACAGGAAGAAAGUUUCUCAGGUUGCCUUAUCUCUUGAUCAUGCUAAUGCUGAUGUUUCCUCGAUCUCUCCUAUGAGUCACGACUCUUUUUCGACUGCACAUGUCUUCACCAAGGAUCAGUAUAAUCAGCUUUUGGCAUUGUUGAACAAAGGGCCUUCUCAUGAACCUGCAGUUAAUAUGGACCUCUCUACUGGAAGGAUGAGGCAGAUUGGUAGACAGUGUGGUGGUCUUUACGUGUUCAAGUCUUCAUCUAAGGGUCUUGCUUCGGGUUUGCCUUCUUCCCAUUUUCCAUUUGAAAAUAAUAACAUCUCUUCACGUAUGACCUAUGUUGUUAAUAAAACAAAUAUAUGGCAUGCUCGUUUAGGGCAUGCCCUUUUG